UUUAAACCUCUUCCAGAGUAUCAAUUGGAGGGCAAGUCUGGUGCCAGCAGCCGCGGUAAUUCCAGCUCCAAUAGCGUAUAUUAAAAUUGUUGCAGUUAAAAAGCUCGUAGUUGAAUUUCUGCUACAUUGCCUAUUCUCCUUUACGAGUUUGGGUCUUUUGUGGCUUAUCUGGGUUCGCUUGCGUUCCCGGUGUUUUACUUUGAGAAAAUUAGAGUGCUCAAAGCAGGCUUUUGCCUUGAAUAGUUUAGCAUGGAAUAAUAAAGUAGGACUUUGGUUCUAUUUUGUUGGUUUUAGGUACCAAAGUAAUGGUUAAUAGGAACAGUUGGGGGCAUUCGUAUUUAACUGUCAGAGGUGAAAUUCUUAGAUUUGUUAAAGACGAACUACUGCGAAAGCAUUUGCCAAGGAUGUUUUCAUUAAUCAAGAACGAAAGUUAGGGGAUCGAAGACGAUCAGAUACCGUCGUAGUCCUAACCAUAAACUAUGCCGACUAGAGAUUGGAGGUCGUCAGUUUUUACGACUCCUUCAGCACCUUGAGAGAAAUCAAAGUCUUUGGGUUCUGGGGGGAGUAUGG
RNAcentral lists this ribosomal RNA (570 nucleotides) under Theileria velifera. RNAcentral's name for it is "SSU rRNA". It matches the Rfam family "Eukaryotic small subunit ribosomal RNA", at positions 524 to 1128 of the family's 1831-position model. The record is from RNAcentral. Lineage: Eukaryota; Apicomplexa; Aconoidasida; Piroplasmida; Theileriidae.